GAUGAAGAACGCAGCGAAAUGCGAUAAGUAAUGUGAAUUGCAGAAUUCAGUGAAUCAUCGAAUCUUUGAACGCACAUUGCGCCCGCCAGUAUUCUGGCGGGCAUGCCUGUCUGAGCAUCAUUUCAACCCUCAUGCCCCUAGGGCGUGGUGUUGGGGAUCGGCCAAAGCCCGCGAGGGACGGCCGGCCCCUAAAUCUAGUGGCGGACCCGUCGUGGCCUCCUCUGCGAAGUAGUGAUAUUCCGCAUCGGAGAGCGACGAGCCCCUGCCGUUAAACCCCCAACUUUCCAAGGUUGACCUCAGAUCAGGUAGGAAUACCCGCUGAACUUAAGCAUAUCAAUAAGCGGAGGA
This 348-nucleotide unclassified non-coding RNA is filed under the name soil metagenome. Its description in RNAcentral is "partial contains 5.8S ribosomal RNA, internal transcribed spacer 2, and large subunit ribosomal RNA". The stretch from base 1 to 120 matches the Rfam family "5.8S ribosomal RNA", at positions 35 to 154 of the family's 154-position model. The record is from RNAcentral.